UACAGAGGGUGCAAGCGUUGUUCGGAAUUACUGGGCGUAAAGCGCGUGUAGGCGGCGGCGUAAGUCCGAUGUGAAAGCCCUUGGCUUAACCAAGGAAGUGCAUCGGAUACUGCGUCGCUUGAGUGCCGGAGGGGAUGGCGGAAUUCCCGGUGUAGAGGUGAAAUUCGUAGAUAUCGGGAGGAACACCUGUGGCGAAGGCGGCCAUCUGGACGGUAACUGACGCUGAGACGCGAAAGCGUGGGUAGCAAACAGG
Molecule: ribosomal RNA, 253 nt
Filed under: uncultured bacterium
Lineage: Bacteria
Description: partial 16S ribosomal RNA
Rfam family: Bacterial small subunit ribosomal RNA
Source: RNAcentral